CAAGUCGAACGAUGAAGCCUGGCUUGCUGGGUGGAUUAGUGGCGAACGGGUGAGUAACACGUGAGUAACCUGCCCUUGACUCUGGGAUAAGCGCUGGAAACGGUGUCUAAUACUGGAUAUUACCUUGCCUGGCAUCGGGUGGGGUGGAAAGUUUUUCGGUUGGGGAUGGACUCGCGGCCUAUCAGCUUGUUGGUGAGGUAAUGGCUUACCAAGGCGACGACGGGUAGCCGGCCUGAGAGGGUGACCGGCCACACUGGGACUGAGACACGGCCCAGACUCCUACGGGAGGCAGCAGUGGGGAAUAUUGCACAAUGGGCGCAAGCCUGAUGCAGCAACGCCGCGUGGGGGAUGACGGCCUUCGGGUUGUAAACCUCUUUUAGUAGGGAAGAAGGGCUUCGGCUUGACGGUACCUGCAGAAAAAGCACCGGCUAACUACGUGCCAGCAGCCGCGGUAAUACGUAGGGUGCAAGCGUUGUCCGGAAUUAUUGGGCGUAAAGAGCUCGUAGGCGGUUUGUCGCGUCUGCUGUGAAAUCCUGAGGCUUAACUUCGGGCUUGCAGUGGGUACGGGCAGACUAGAGUGCGGUAGGGGAGAAUGGAAUUCCUGGUGUAGCGGUGGAAUGCGCAGAUAUCAGGAGGAACACCGAUGGCGAAGGCAGUUCUCUGGGCCGUAACUGACGCUGAGGAGCGAAAGCGUGGGGAGCGAACAGGAUUAGAUACCCUGGUAGUCCACGCCGUAAACGUUGGGCGCUAGAUGUGGGGACCUUUCCACGGUUUCCGUGUCGC
RNAcentral lists this ribosomal RNA (783 nucleotides) under Rathayibacter toxicus. Its description in RNAcentral is "bacterial SSU rRNA". It matches the Rfam family "Bacterial small subunit ribosomal RNA", at positions 58 to 849 of the family's 1533-position model. Lineage: Bacteria; Bacillati; Actinomycetota; Actinomycetes; Micrococcales; Microbacteriaceae. The record is from RNAcentral.